UAACGAAGGGUGCAAGGCGUUACUCGGAAUUACUGGGCGUAAAGCGCAAGCGUAGGCGGCUUUGUAAGUUAGAGGUGAAAAGCCCGGGGCUCAACUCCGGAAAUUGCCUUUAAGACUCGCAUCGCUAGAAUUGUGGAGAGGUAAGUGGAAUUCCGAGUGUAGAGGUGAAAUUCGUAGAUAUUCGGAAAGAACACCAGUGGCGAAGGCGGACUUACUGGACACAUAUUGACGCUGAGGUGCGAAAGCGUGGGGAGCAAACAGG
Molecule: ribosomal RNA, 262 nt
Filed under: uncultured bacterium
Lineage: Bacteria
Description: partial 16S ribosomal RNA
Rfam family: Bacterial small subunit ribosomal RNA
Source: RNAcentral